UUUGGAGGGCAAGUCUGGUGCCAGCAGCCGCGGUAAUUCCAGCUCCAAUAGCGUAUAUUAAAGUUGUUGCAGUUAAAAAGCUCGUAGUUGAAUUUCGGGAUCAGAGUGUCGGUCGUGCCUCGGUACGCACUGGUAUUAUUGGUUCCUACCUUCUAAAGAACCGCGAUGUCAUUAAUUUGGUGUCGUGGGGAAUCAGGACUGCUACUUUGAAAAAAUUAGAGUGUUUAAAGCAGGCUUACGCUUGAAUACAUUAGCAUGGAAUAAUGAAAUAGGACGUUUGAUUCUAUUUUGUUGGUUUCUAGGAUUGACGUAAUGAUUAAUAGGGAUAGUUGGGGGCAUUAGUAUUCAAUUGUCAGAGGUGAAAUUCUUGGAUUUAUUGAAGACUAACUACUGCGAAAGCAUUUGCCAAGGAUGUUUCCAUUAAUCAAGAACGAAAGUUAGGGGAUCGAAGACGAUCAGAUACCGUCGUAGUCUUAACCAUAAACCAUGCCGACUAGGGAUCGGAUGAUGUUAAUUUUUUAAUGACUCAUUCGGCGCCUUACGGGAAACCAAAGUGUUUGGGUUC
Molecule: ribosomal RNA, 565 nt
Filed under: uncultured Glomeromycotina
Lineage: Eukaryota; Fungi; Glomeromycota
Description: SSU rRNA
Rfam family: Eukaryotic small subunit ribosomal RNA
Source: RNAcentral